AAAGGGAGACCUAAUUCAGGUAGGAGACGAAAAAAAAGUAGUCCCUACCAAGAAUCAAUCCCAAAAGGUCGGAGCGAGGCAAAAUUGGCUUUCAAACUAGGUUCUGGGUUCACACAAGACCUGAAUCAGGAACAAGGGCUAUUAGCUCAGGUGGUUAGAGCGCACCCCUGAUAAGGGUGAGGUCCCUGGUUCGAGUCCAGGAUGGCCCACCUGUACAGGUGGCAAAAAGAAAGAAAAGAAGCGAGGAAUCAGCACCUUAUCUUACUUAUAUAGUAAGAGAGAAUGCUGGCUCUGAGUUCAGAGUCCAGAGGAACCUUGAAAACUGCAUAGAGCUAGGUGAAAAAGCCAAAAAAGAAGACCACAAG
This 365-nucleotide transfer RNA is filed under the name uncultured Microcystis sp. RNAcentral's name for it is "partial 16S-23S ribosomal RNA intergenic spacer". The stretch from base 136 to 209 matches the Rfam family "tRNA". Lineage: Bacteria; Bacillati; Cyanobacteriota; Cyanophyceae; Chroococcales; Microcystaceae. The record is from RNAcentral.